GAGUUUGAUCCUGGCUCAGAGUGAACGCUGGCGGUAGGCCUAACACAUGCAAGUCGAACGGCAGCACAGGGAGAGCUUGCUCUCUGGGUGGCGAGUGGCGGACGGGUGAGGAAUACAUCGGAAUCUACCUUGUCGUGGGGGAUAACGUAGGGAAACUUACGCUAAUACCGCAUACGACCUACGGGUGAAAGUGGGGGACCGCAAGGCCUCACGCGAUUAGAUGAGCCGAUGUCGGAUUAGCUAGUUGGCGGGGUAAAAGCCCACCAAGGCGACGAUCCGUAGCUGGUCUGAGAGGAUGAUCAGCCACACUGGAACUGAGACACGGUCCAGACUCCUACGGGAGGCAGCAGUGGGGAAUAUUGGACAAUGGGCGCAAGCCUGAUCCAGCCAUACCGCGUGGGUGAAGAAGGCCUUCGGGUUGUAAAGCCCUUUUGUUGGGAAAGAAAUCCUGUCGGUUAAUACCUGGCGGGGAUGACGGUACCCAAAGAAUAAGCACCGGCUAACUUCGUGCCAGCAGCCGCGGUAAUACGAAGGGUGCAAGCGUUACUCGGAAUUACUGGGCGUAAAGCGUGCGUA
RNAcentral lists this ribosomal RNA (576 nucleotides) under uncultured bacterium. Its description in RNAcentral is "bacterial SSU rRNA". It matches the Rfam family "Bacterial small subunit ribosomal RNA", at positions 9 to 573 of the family's 1533-position model. The record is from RNAcentral.